AUACAGUUGACGAGUCCUAAAUAGGACGAAAUGUGCAUCAUGUUU
Schistosoma mattheei is the source of this 45-nucleotide non-coding RNA. The record is from Rfam. Lineage: Eukaryota; Metazoa; Platyhelminthes; Trematoda; Strigeidida; Schistosomatidae.